AUACCUGGCAGGGGAGAGAGACCAUGAUCACGAAGGUGGUUUUCCCAGGGUGAGGCUUCUCCAUUGCACUCCGGAGGUGCUGACCCCUGUGAUUCCACCCCCACGCCCCCCACCCCCAGAAAAAAAAGAAGAGACAUUUUGGAGCUAACAGAACUGUUCUCCAUC
RNAcentral lists this small nuclear RNA (165 nucleotides) under Dasypus novemcinctus (nine-banded armadillo). RNAcentral describes it as "U1 spliceosomal RNA (ENSDNOG00000027407.1)". It matches the Rfam family "U1 spliceosomal RNA", at positions 6 to 117 of the family's 166-position model. From Rfam's summary of the family: U1 is a small nuclear RNA (snRNA) component of the spliceosome (involved in pre-mRNA splicing). Its 5' end forms complementary base pairs with the 5' splice junction, thus defining the 5' donor site of an intron. The record is from RNAcentral. Lineage: Eukaryota; Metazoa; Chordata; Mammalia; Cingulata; Dasypodidae.